Non-coding RNA from Pelobates cultripes (western spadefoot toad), 228 nucleotides. The record is from the annotation of a GenBank genome assembly. Lineage: Eukaryota; Metazoa; Chordata; Amphibia; Anura; Pelobatidae.
CUAUCCUUAACCAUGACCAUAACACUAAACCUAAAUAUUAACCCUUACACUACACUAAACAUUAAAUCUUACACUACACUAAACAUUAACCUCCACACUCCACUCCACUACACAUUAACCCCUACACUACACUCAGCCUAACCUACACAAUAUGUUAUAAUAUAAAAAUACAUCAUUGGUGUACCAUGUAAUAUGGAAAAAUAAUUAAAUUUUAGAGUUCUGGAGUCA